This 209-nucleotide long non-coding RNA is filed under the name Trifolium pratense (red clover). Its description in RNAcentral is "long non-coding RNA (TPRA_LNC012295)". The record is from RNAcentral. Lineage: Eukaryota; Viridiplantae; Streptophyta; Magnoliopsida; Fabales; Fabaceae.
UUGUGUUACCAAGACAUUGGGCAUAAUCAUUUGAGAUUUAAUCUAAUCAUGAAACUAAAUUGAGUAAAUUUGUAAUCAUACAUGAAAUUACCAAGAGAAGUAGUAAUUAGAUGAACCAAAAGGAUCAAUCGCUUUUCUUUCAUUCAAUUUGAAUCCCAAGUUAUUUAUAAGUUUAUGAUAAAAAUUCAAACCAAGUUAAACUCCCCCCU